This 243-nucleotide ribosomal RNA is filed under the name uncultured bacterium. RNAcentral describes it as "partial 16S ribosomal RNA". It matches the Rfam family "Bacterial small subunit ribosomal RNA", at positions 1257 to 1500 of the family's 1533-position model. The record is from RNAcentral.
GUGAGGUGGAGCAAAACUCAAAAAAUAGAUCUCAGUUCGGACUGUAGGCUGCAACUCGCCUACACGAAGUUGGAAUUGCUAGUAAUCGUGGAUCAGCAUGCCACGGUGAAUACGUUCCCGGGUCUUGUACACACCGCCCGUCACACCAUGGGAGCUGGUAACACCCGAAGCCUGUGAGCUAACGCUAAGAGGCAGCAGUCGAAGGUAGAAUCAAUGAUUGGGGUGAAGUCGUAACAAGGUAGC